UUUGAAUAUGAUGUAAAAAUUGUUGCCCUCUUCUGUCUGAAUUCAUGCUAAUGUUUUACAUCCGUGCUAGUAAUUUCUACUAAUGGUUUCAGAACCUUUUGCUGUCUUCCAGGGGCUGUGGUUAAAUUAAAACAUGAAACAGUUGAUGUUGCAGGCUACAGUGUAAUGGUAAGAAGCUUCAUAGCUGACUGUAAAUAGGACAUGUGCGUCACUACUGUAUGUGUUGGCCCUCAGAUAGACUGGCGACCUCUGACCUUUACCAAGACAAGUCUCUAGGACGAUGGAUGAAUCGACAGUUAACUAUGCAACACUGGUAAAGACUAGGGAGCAGCCUUACAGAAGCUGAUUGAAGAUUUAUUUAUCAAGCUGCUGUGCAUGACCUAUAACAGUCAUGGACAUGGUUUUCGUGUCUCAUAAUGUUCAUGCUUCUUCACUUCUCCCUGAUUUUUUCUCCUCUGGGUUUUUGCCUCUUUCUUUCUCCUACUGUGAAGAUGUGAAGCUCUACUUCACCUCCCCCCCAGCGGUCCCCGGGGAUCCCAUCCCGCCCACUGUCUCCCAUGGAUACCUCAGCUCGCCCUCUUAUCGCUGUGGAGACCCAGCUAACCGCUUGCUCCCAUCAGUUACUGAGCUGGAUCCUCAUUCCACACAUCAGAAGCGGAUGCCAUCCCAUCUGAGCCUACAAGAUAACUGCCUUGGAUUCUCAACGUGGACACAUUUCCAACAAGAACCCUUAAAUUAGAGCAUCUUCUGUUACAUCCACAACUGCCAGGAACUACGCAAGGUCAG
RNAcentral lists this long non-coding RNA (786 nucleotides) under Betta splendens (Siamese fighting fish). Its description in RNAcentral is "lncRNA (ENSBSLG00000019133.1)". Lineage: Eukaryota; Metazoa; Chordata; Actinopteri; Anabantiformes; Osphronemidae. The record is from RNAcentral.